ACGGGUCACCAGACACUCAACAACUGUCCCAAAAGAGACUGAAAGACCAGCAACACCCCAACACAGUGACGAUGAAAAAGAACGAGAAAAAGACCAAGACGAUGAUCCUUCAUCAACAAGUGACAAGACAAGCGAAGCGAGCCAAAGUGAUGCAUCAGAAGAACACUCAUCGGAUGACAGUACAGGCAUCUCUGAUGAGGAUGACACCGACCACUCAUCAGUGCACGGUAGUCUCCCGCCACUCCUGUCUCGUCGUGAAGCAGAGUUCUUCGCAUUUGAUGAUGACGAAGACCGUGGUCAUGUUACCGAUGGCGACUAUGAAGUUUAAAGGCCUGGGUUUUCCAUCAAUUUAGUUUGUUGUGCCAAGGUUGACACAGAGUUUAUUGCAGUGUUUUCAAGAGUGAAAAACAAGAAGCCAUUAAGUUAACACAUAUGUAAAAACCGGUAGGGCUACCGCUAUUUUAUUGUCAGAGUCUUUUUCGGGUAAAGUUUGAGUUGUUACAGAGUCUGUUUUGGAUUUAUUGUAACAAUCUCUAAAGUGAAAUAAAGUUCCAUUAAUGUUUCAGCCAA
Long non-coding RNA from Rhipicephalus microplus (southern cattle tick), 570 nucleotides. NCBI's taxonomy places the organism in Eukaryota, Metazoa, Arthropoda, Arachnida, Ixodida, Ixodidae. The record is from RefSeq and is a predicted model, not a curated record.